GCGGCUGACUAUAGAUGCACUCGUACGAACCAUCCUGAAGAUUGAAGCUUGCUUCAUGAUUCAGACCUUGGUGAGUGGCGGACGGGUGAGUAACACGUGGGUAACCUGCCCUAAAGUGGGGGAUAACAUCUGGAAACAGGUGCUAAUACCGCAUAACAACAGUCUUCACAUGAUCACUGUUUAAAAGAUGGCUCUGCUAUCGCUUUUGGAUGGACCCGCGGGGUAUUAGCUAGUUGGUGAGGUAAAGGCUCACCAAGGCGAUGAUACGUAGCCGACCUGAGAGGGUAAUCGGCCACAUUGGGACUGAGACACGGCCCAAACUCCUACGGGAGGCAGCAGUAGGGAAUCUUCCACAAUGGGCGAAAGCCUGAUGGAGCAAUGCCGCGUGAGUGAAGAAGGUUUUCGGAUCGUAAAACUCUGUUGUUGAAGAAGAACAUGCGUGAGAGUAACUGUUCACGUACUGACGGUAUUCAACCAGAAAGCCACGGCUAACUACGUGCCAGCAGCCGCGGUAAUACGUAGGUGGCAAGCGUUGUCCGGAUUUAUUGGGCGUAAAGAGAAUGUAGGCGGUUUAUUAAGUUUGAAGUGAAAGCCCUCGGCUCAACCGAGGAAGUGCUUCGAAAACUGGUAAACUUGAGUGCAGAAGAGGAAAGUGGAACUCCAUGUGUAGCGGUGGAAUGCGUAGAUAUAUGGAAGAACACCAGUGGCGAAGGCGGCUUUCUGGUCUGUAACUGACGCUGAGAUUCGAAA
RNAcentral lists this ribosomal RNA (750 nucleotides) under Companilactobacillus mindensis. RNAcentral's name for it is "bacterial SSU rRNA". It matches the Rfam family "Bacterial small subunit ribosomal RNA", at positions 39 to 758 of the family's 1533-position model. The record is from RNAcentral. Lineage: Bacteria; Bacillati; Bacillota; Bacilli; Lactobacillales; Lactobacillaceae.